CGCAAACAUAAAUUCGUAGACAUAAAUUCCCAAAUCAAUAAUCAUUCAUCAUUAAACAUGAACUACUUAUCAUAAAUCACAAUUUACAAACAUAAUUUUGUAAACAUAAAUUUCCAAAUCAAUAAUCAUAACUUAUAAAACGUAAAUUAGUUAUCAUAAAUCACAAUUCGUAAUCCUAAUUUCGUAAACAUAAAUUCCUGAAAGAAAGAAGGAUUUCUUAUCUAAGCCAAGCUUCCUUUUUUUCCCAAGUUCGGCUAGAAUUAACAAUUGAACAUGCAUUACGCAACAUCAAAAAGUUUGGUAGGCAACAAAAUUAAACAAAAACAAAACCAGAGAGAGAGAGAGAGAGAGAGAGAGAGAGAGGGAGGGAGGGAGAGAGAGUCACUAGUCACCAGAGAGACUUAGGGUACUCCUUGGCUCGAUAGUCGGCAACAGAAGUUGUAAAACACAUUGUCUCACAUCUGUGCAGGCAGUGCACUCGUGCAGCAUCAGCAAUUUAGCAAUCAGCAUACAGGCUAAUAGUAAUAGAUGACUGAAAAUUGCACAAAAAAAUGGAAAUAUGGAAUACCUUCAUAUUAAUUAUUACCCCUAAAAAAAUUUCAAUUGCACAAAAAAUAAUUUAUAUUUCUAUUUCUAGUAAAUUGCACAAAAAAUAAAUCCAAUUUUUCAAACAGAUCACAGAAGGAAAUAUGGAAUACCUUCAUAUUAACCCUAAAACAAUUUCGUGUUGAUUAUUGUAAAAUUUAAAUUCGAUGAUUAACAUAAAUUGUCACUCUGUGUUGACUUUAUUUGAUGUCUAAACAUCUAAUAACACUGAACCUUAGUACUUACGCGAAUUUUUCGAAAGCAGAGAUUUCGAAAUUGCAUCAAAUGUCCAAACUCCAAUGAAUUUGUGUUGUUCCCUCUUCUUCGAAUUCGAAUUGAAAUUGGAAUUAUAGAUUGGAAUGGAGUACGCCGUGUGGAUUGGAGAGUUAAGAAAUGAGGAAAAGUAGAAAAGGGUUUGGCUUUCUCUUUCACGAUUUGGGGAUUGGAUUUGGAAAUUUCUCUAUUUCGCGUUUCACCCCUGCCCUCUGCCUUUGUGGUUUAAGACUUUCACGCUUUCAGGCUUCAGCAGUCAGUAGUCAUCUUAGUGGUUUGGGACUUUGGUUGAUCCAAUUCCAAUUAUUAAUGGUAUUGGACAUUUGUGCUAAUCAAAAUUGGGCAAAAAAUAACCUUAAUCAAUAAGCUUCAGCCCAGCAAUUCGGCCCAAACCAAAAAAAAAAAAAAAAAUUGGAAGAAGAAGAAGAAAAGGGAUCUUGUCUUCAUUCUGUCAUCUUCGUCUCAUCUUUAGUCUCUUCUCUGAUCGGCUCUGCAACUUUCCCAUUUGCUACUCGACGGUUCUCAAGACUUCGACGGAGCCAGUACGGGCAACUGCGCCCCCUCGUCGGGUACAGGCUCAGCGCCUGAUCCCAAGCAAAGGAAAAAAUCCUGAUAAUGCAAAAGAAAUAAUACAAAAAUGUGCCUUUGAAUACAUCAGCAUCAUAGCUUCUAAAGAAAAUGAGAACAUUGCAAGACAGUCACUCAUAAGAAUGUUCUCUAUGCCAUGGAAAUUGGGGUUUGAAAACUAUGUAGAACUCCUCACACUUAUGUUGAACAAGGACCAAGCGCAAAACGCGGAGUGUAGUCUUAAUGUCUAGAUCUAAUAUCUCUG
RNAcentral lists this long non-coding RNA (1690 nucleotides) under Olea europaea subsp. europaea. The record is from RNAcentral. Lineage: Eukaryota; Viridiplantae; Streptophyta; Magnoliopsida; Lamiales; Oleaceae.